UACGGGGGGGGCAAGCGUUGUUCGGAAUUACUGGGCGUAAAGGGCUCGUAGGCGGCCAACUAAGUCAGACGUGAAAUCCCUCGGCUUAACCGGGGAACUGCGUCUGAUACUGGAUGGCUUGAGUUUGGGAGAGGGAUGCGGAAUUCCAGGUGUAGCGGUGAAAUGCGCAGAUAUCAGGAGGAACACCGGUGGCGAAAGCGCUCUGCUAGGCCGCAACUGACACUCAUGGACGAAAGCUAGGGGAGCGAAUGGG
RNAcentral lists this ribosomal RNA (253 nucleotides) under uncultured bacterium. Its description in RNAcentral is "partial 16S ribosomal RNA". It matches the Rfam family "Bacterial small subunit ribosomal RNA", at positions 524 to 776 of the family's 1533-position model. The record is from RNAcentral.